Long non-coding RNA from Hemibagrus wyckioides, 266 nucleotides. RefSeq lists it as uncharacterized. The transcript has 3 exons. The record is from RefSeq and is a predicted model, not a curated record. Lineage: Eukaryota; Metazoa; Chordata; Actinopteri; Siluriformes; Bagridae.
AGUCUUGUGUGAGUCAGAGUCAGACUCUCUGUGAGUUCAUGUGCCAACAAGAGCUAUUGCUGUUGGAUGAAUUGCUUUCAUAUAUUUUGCAGGUUCCCAGUCACUGGUCUUUCAGUCAUGCACACCUGGCUGCUCUCUGUGUGAGGGGUCACCACAGCAGACCAACUGGUCCACACAACAACUUGGCACAGGUUUUACACCGGAUGCCCUUCCUGACACAACCCUCCUAUUUUAUUCGGGCUUGGGACCAGCACUGCAUCCAGUGG